CUAGCCGUAAACGAUGGAUACUAGGCGUUGUGGGUAUCGACCCUCACAGUGUCGUAGCUAACGCGUUAAGUAUCCCGCCUGGGGAGUACGCGCGCAAGCGUGAAACUCAAAGGAAUUGACGGGGGCCCGCACAAGCGGUGGAGUAUGUGGUUUAAUUCGAUGCAACGCGAAGAACCUUACCAGGACUUGACAUGUCGCGAAUCUCAGGGAAACUUGAGAGUGCCUUCGGGAGCGCGAACACAGGUGGUGC
Molecule: ribosomal RNA, 250 nt
Filed under: uncultured Chroococcidiopsis sp.
Lineage: Bacteria; Bacillati; Cyanobacteriota; Cyanophyceae; Chroococcidiopsidales; Chroococcidiopsidaceae
Description: partial 16S ribosomal RNA
Rfam family: Bacterial small subunit ribosomal RNA
Source: RNAcentral